GGCUGUGGCUCAGUGGUAGAGCACUUGCCUAGCACAUAUGAGGCACUGGGUUCGACUGUCAGCACCA
Molecule: transfer RNA, 67 nt
Filed under: Marmota monax (woodchuck)
Lineage: Eukaryota; Metazoa; Chordata; Mammalia; Rodentia; Sciuridae
Description: tRNA.Ala
Source: RNAcentral